ACUGGGAACCGAAGAGUACAGUGAUACAAGACAGGACAUAAGCAGUACUACAAAGGUGUCUCCAAGAUUCCUCACUAUAUUAUCUA
This is a long non-coding RNA of Aricia agestis (brown argus), 86 nucleotides long. RefSeq lists it as uncharacterized. NCBI's taxonomy places the organism in Eukaryota, Metazoa, Arthropoda, Insecta, Lepidoptera, Lycaenidae. The record is from RefSeq and is a predicted model, not a curated record. The transcript is spliced from 3 exons.